AACGAACGCUGGCGGCAGGCUUAACACAUGCAAGUCGAACGCAUCCUUCGGGGUGAGUGGCAGACGGGUGAGUAACGCGUGGGAGCGUGCCCUUCAGUUCGGGAUAACCCAGGGAAACUUGGGCUAAUACCGGAUACGUGCGAGAGCAGAAAGAUUUAUCGCUGAAGGAUCGGCCCGCGUCUGAUUAGCUAGUUGGUGGGGUAAUGGCCACCAAGGCGACGAUCAGUAGCUGGUCUGAGAGGAUGAUCAGCCACAUUGGGACUGAGACACGGCCCAAACUCCUACGGGAGGCAGCAGUGGGGAAUAUUGGACAAUGGGCGCAAGCCUGAUCCAGCCAUGCCGCGUGAGUGAUGAAGGCCUUAGGGUUGUAAAGCCCUUUCGUCCGGGACGAUAAUGACGGUACCGGAAGAAGAAGCCCCGGCUAACUUCGUGCCAGCCGCCGCGGUAA
RNAcentral lists this ribosomal RNA (448 nucleotides) under uncultured bacterium. RNAcentral describes it as "partial 16S ribosomal RNA". It matches the Rfam family "Bacterial small subunit ribosomal RNA", at positions 29 to 523 of the family's 1533-position model. The record is from RNAcentral.